Molecule: ribosomal RNA, 443 nt
Filed under: uncultured bacterium
Lineage: Bacteria
Description: partial 16S ribosomal RNA
Rfam family: Bacterial small subunit ribosomal RNA
Source: RNAcentral
CCUACGGGAGGCUGCAGUGGGGGAUAUUGGACAAUGGGGGGAACCCUGAUCCAGCGACGCCGCGUGAGUGAAGAAGUAUUUCGGUAUGUAAAGCUCUGUCAGCAGGGAAGAAAGAAAUGACGGUACCUGACCAAGAAGCCCCGGCUAACUACGUGCCAGCAGCCGCGGUAAUACGUAGGGGGCAAGCGUUAUCCGGAAUUACUGGGUGUAAAGGGAGCGUAGACGGUUAAGUAAGUCUGGAGUGAAAGGCCGGGGCCCAACCCCGGGACUGCUCUGGAAACUAUUGGACUUGAGUGCAGGGGAGGUAAGCGGAAUUCCUAGUGUAGCGGUGAAAUGCGUAGAUAUUAGGAGGAACACCAGUGGCGAAGGCGGCUUACUGGACUGUGACUGACGUUGAGGCUCGAAAGCGUGGGGAGCAAACAGGAUUAGAUACCCGAGUAGUC